Molecule: ribosomal RNA, 439 nt
Filed under: uncultured bacterium
Lineage: Bacteria
Description: bacterial SSU rRNA
Rfam family: Bacterial small subunit ribosomal RNA
Source: RNAcentral
CCUACGGGGGGCAGCAGUGGGGAAUAUUGCACAAUGGGGGAAACCCUGAUGCAGCGACGCCGCGUGAGCGAUGAAGGCUUUCGGGUCGUAAAGCUCUGUCCUAAGGGAAGAUAAUGACGGUACCUUAGGAGGAAGCCCCGGCUAACUACGUGCCAGCAGCCGCGGUAAUACGUAGGGGGCGAGCGUUGUCCGGAAUUACUGGGCGUAAAGGGUGCGUAGGCGGUCAUGUAAGUCAGAUGUGAAAGCCCUCGGCUUAACCGAGGUAAGCAUUUGAAACUGCAUAACUUGAGUGCAGGAGAGGAGAGUGGAAUUCCUAGUGUAGCGGUGAAAUGCGUAGAUAUUAGGAAGAACACCAGUGGCGAAGGCGACUCUCUGGACUGUAACUGACGCUGAGGCACGAAAGCGUGGGGAGCGAACAGGAUUAGAUACCCCCGUAGUC